Molecule: ribosomal RNA, 229 nt
Filed under: uncultured bacterium
Lineage: Bacteria
Description: partial 16S ribosomal RNA
Rfam family: Bacterial small subunit ribosomal RNA
Source: RNAcentral
UGCGCAGGCGGACCUAUUAGUCAGUGGUGAAAUCCCGGGGCUCAACUCCGGAACUGCCAUUGAUACUGUAGGUCUUGAGUUUGGUUGAAGUGGGCGGAAUGUAGCAUGUAGCGGUGAGAUGCAUAGAUAUGCUACAGAACACCGAUCGCGAAGGCAGCUCACUAAACCAAAACUGACGCUCAGGCACGAAAGCGUGGGGAGCGAACAGGAUUAGAUACCCUGGUAGUCC